RNAcentral lists this transfer RNA (71 nucleotides) under Marmota monax (woodchuck). RNAcentral's name for it is "tRNA.Ala". The record is from RNAcentral. Lineage: Eukaryota; Metazoa; Chordata; Mammalia; Rodentia; Sciuridae.
GUGGCUGUGGCUCACUGGUAGAGUGCUUGCGUAGCACGUGUGAGGCACUGGGUUUGAUCCUCAGCACCACA